GUAAAGGUGCCAGAAUUAAUGGGAUUAAUUUAGGAUUAAUUUAUGAUUUUUUAUCUCUUUAUU
RNAcentral lists this transfer RNA (63 nucleotides) under Hydatigera taeniaeformis. Its description in RNAcentral is "tRNA-Leu". RNAcentral also lists the same sequence under 1 other name. Lineage: Eukaryota; Metazoa; Platyhelminthes; Cestoda; Cyclophyllidea; Taeniidae. The record is from RNAcentral.